GAUGAACGCUGGCGGCGUGCCUAAUACAUGCAAGUCGAGCGAACAGACGAGGAGCUUGCUCCUCUGACGGUAGCGGCGGACGGGCGAGUAACACGUGGAUAACCUACCUAUAAGACUGGGAUAACUUCGUGAAACCGGAGCUAAUACCGGAUAAUAUAUUGAACCGCAGGGUUCAAUAGUGAAAGACGGUUUUGCUGUCACUUAUAGAUGGUUCCGCGCCGCAUUAGCUAGUUGGUAAGGUAACGGCUUACCAAGGCAACGAUGCGUAGCCGACCUGAGAGGAUGAUCGGCCACACUGGAACUGAGACACGGUCCAGACUCCUACGGGAGGCAGCAGUAGGGAAUCUUCCGCAAUGGGCGAAAGCUUGACGGAGCCACGCCGCGUGAGUGAUGAAGGUCUUCGGAUCGUAAAACUCUGUUAUUAGGGAAGAACAAAUGUGUAAGUAACUAUGCACGUCUUGACGGUACCUAAUCAGAAAGCCACGGCUAACUACGUG
This 497-nucleotide ribosomal RNA is filed under the name uncultured bacterium. RNAcentral's name for it is "partial 16S ribosomal RNA". It matches the Rfam family "Bacterial small subunit ribosomal RNA", at positions 28 to 507 of the family's 1533-position model. The record is from RNAcentral.